GCCAGGUUUCGGUAAGCACCAAUACAUCGUAUUCAGUCUCCAUUACCGAUAAGCGGAACUCAUCGGCUUUAGAGCGCAGACCACGCACAUUUUGAUAAAACACGGUUAUACGCGUCGCUUGAUCGCUGGGUGCUUGAUGUAAUGAAGUGUUAGUAGCUGGUAUGUUGGAGAUGACGGAGCUUAUCGUAGAUGGUGAGUGUAUGAUGAGUGUCUGUGUUGUCGAAGAGAUUGCUCGGACCGUGUGAGUACCAUAUGACUGCGCUGCUGUGGUGCGGUUACUUCGGAAAAAAUUGAGCCAUUGUAGUUUGACGCGUUUUUGCUCGUGAUGUGGACGGAAGAGUAGGUGAAGUGAGAGUGCGAUUCAUAUCGGUUGGUGAGUGUUCAGCUUGUGUCUGCGAAGGUUCACGGAUAAGUGCAGGAAGUGCAUCCGGGGGAAAUUGGUUGCAGUGCUGGAAGGAUGCUGAGUGGGACGCGAAUCCGGCAAAGCCAUCCCGAAUCUCUUGCACUACCGGUGGGACUAAGCUGGACUUCAUUGCUUCAACGGCAGCUGUGAGGGCGGCUUGAAAGCCAACUUGCAUACCCGUACCCUUAAACACUUUGCUUCGCGGAUUACCAAUCGCAUUAGUACACGCAAUGCAACUCCAGUGCAGCGAAGGCAUCCUUUUCACUUCGUCGAUCACUGAUAUGGGCACUUUCGUGCACGCCAGAUGAUGCAAGCUGCGGAUGAACGUCGAAGGAGCCACGAAUAGAAGCCGAAAAUAUCGUGAACACAGUAGUUAUCGUCAGGAAAACAAUACUAGGAUCGCGGGAACUGCACUUAUGGACUCAGCAAAACUAAAAUCGGUUAGAGCGAAAACCGAUUACACGGAUAAAAUCGUGGAUAAAUUCGGAGCGAUUAGCAGUAAACACACUAAGUUGGCAGCUGUCAGACCGAGAGUGUGCUGUACGAUGUAGUAGCAGCUGCAGGACGAAGGAUGAACGCCGGCAAAUGCCGAAUUCACCACGCUAACAGAACAAACACUCCCCUCAGUCACCAAACUCAGCCAAAUCGAUAGUCGCCCCUCGUACUGCCGCCCACCACAAAUAUACUGGACCAUCAAAAAUCAGCUGCGGGCUGGUUGCAAUAGUGUCAUUGCUAACCGUCAUUUUGCCAAACUCGUGCAGCAAAAAUACCAUAACCACCAUCUCAUCUUCACUGACGGAUUAGUACAAAACGGUUCCUCUGGCUGUGGAAUCUACUCCAGCAUCGACAAUAGCGCCAUCCGACUACCAGACCAUAGCUCAAUCUUCACCGUAGAAGCAAUUGCUGCUGAUAAAGGUCUACACAGAGACAAACCCAACGUAAUUUUUACCGACAGUGCAAGUGUCCUUCAAGCACCCGAACAUCCAACAACUGUGCAAUAUUCCGAAUUCACCCCAAGUCACAUUCUGCUAAAUUCCUGGUCACACAGGUAUCCAGGGAAACGAAAUAGCAGACCGACUAGCUAACGCAGGACGUAAUAACUCGGCCUACUGCCAUAACACUUGUGGCGACCACGGUGUGGCCCUAUCACUGUUCGGAGCUGACCUCCGGUUGUACACACCGCACACGCUUAAUCCAGGAAACGUCAGCCUGACAUAAAAUGGUCUACCGUUAUUUCUGGCAGCCAAACACUCUUUCACGCCGUGACUUCAUCCGCCUUAGCAAAACCAUCAUCGCCAAUAGCUGGAAUGGGUAUUGGGUUAGCAACGGUCGCUUUUUCCUGAGUACCUUCAAGACCACAACACCACCAUCGAAAGACCAUCCUUCACACCAAGAUCAGAGAAUCCAAUCACGACUUCGGAUAGGACACACCCGGCUCACCCACACCUUUUUAUUACAAAAUCAAACCCACCACUAUGCAGUUUCUGUGGCGUCGACAUCACCGUCUGUCACAUCUUCACCGAAUGGCAUGGAUAUUCUGCGGAACGCAUCACCUGCAAAUUAGACAUAGAGACCAUCCUCUCGCCAGGCAGCGAUUGCCAGCGUAAACUUUUAAAAUUGCUUCGUAUCACUAAUCUUUAUAAACAACUCUAACCAAACCACAUUUGUAACAGACAAUAAAAUCAACGGAUAGCUUUACGUAAACCGAGACUACCCGGUAUAAGGUAACUACAAGCCACAAAUGGCUUGCAAAGAAGAAUGUUAGAUUUUAGUAUAGUAUAGAUAGUAUAGAUUUUAAAAGUAUAGAAUUAAUGAACCGAUUGAAAGAGGCCAAUUGGAUCAAAGUCUCUAUAAAAAUUAAGAAAAAAAAAAACCAAUGGUAUUUAGCGAAU
Long non-coding RNA from Anopheles arabiensis, 2295 nucleotides. RefSeq lists it as uncharacterized. The transcript has 3 exons. The record is from RefSeq and is a predicted model, not a curated record. Lineage: Eukaryota; Metazoa; Arthropoda; Insecta; Diptera; Culicidae.